This is a long non-coding RNA of Bombina bombina (fire-bellied toad), 426 nucleotides long. RefSeq lists it as uncharacterized. The transcript has 2 exons. Lineage: Eukaryota; Metazoa; Chordata; Amphibia; Anura; Bombinatoridae. The record is from RefSeq and is a predicted model, not a curated record.
UGUGUCUGCGCUUACAAUACUCCUGCAUGCUCCACACUACUCAAUAGCAGCAACUCCACCGGCUUCUGCUUCUUUAAAUACUUGACGGCAUUUACCUGAUUACCUGCUGCAGCCCUGAUAUGACAAGAUACUGUAACAGCCCAUCUCAUCAGCUCACAUGCAGUAUACAAAGACAAAAAGAAAAGCAACUAAGAACUAUUUCAGAACAAAAAAUAUACUGAGAUAACAUAGCAGGUACCAAAAGUCCAAAAUGCAGAGCGUGUCUUCAAGAACUCAGCAUUGAGAGUAAAGAGUAACCUGAUAGCAUCCCAGAAAUUGGCUAAUCAUCGAUGAGAAGAUUAAAAGUAAAGUUGUAAAAUCAAACUGAACAUAAUAACACAAACAAACAAAAAGAAAUGUAAACAGUAAACAUAUACGUAAAUAAAA